Molecule: transfer RNA, 81 nt
Filed under: fish gut metagenome
Rfam family: tRNA
About the family: Transfer RNA (tRNA) molecules are approximately 80 nucleotides in length. Their secondary structure includes four short double-helical elements and three loops (D, anti-codon, and T loops). Further hydrogen bonds mediate the characteristic L-shaped molecular structure. tRNAs have two regions of fundamental functional importance: the anti-codon, which is responsible for specific mRNA codon recognition, and the 3' end, to which the tRNAs corresponding amino acid is attached (by aminoacyl-tRNA synthetases). tRNAs cope with the degeneracy of the genetic code in two manners: having more than one tRNA (with a specific anti-codon) for a particular amino acid; and 'wobble' base-pairing, i.e. permitting non-standard base-pairing at the 3rd anti-codon position.
Source: RNAcentral
CGAGAUGGCGGAAUUGGUAGACGCGCCAGACUCAAAAUCUGGUUGAGGUAACUUAGUGAGGGUUCGAUUCCCUCUCUCGGC